AUGUGUGGGUGUGUCUGGGCCCUCUCGAUUUGGAGUUGGGAGCGACUGCCGGUUGGUCGCCCUGAGAAACUGCCACGGACAGAGUGGACGGAGUAUGGCGAGGAUGGCGACCGUUCUCGAUACCCUACCGUCGCCUAUUCUUGGGACAAGGUUAAGGUCUUCUCGGGCAAGGGAAGUGCGAUGUACAAGGCCUUCACCAACGAGCUAGACAACCUGACAUCUUUUCAGGUUAACUGGUGGCCGUACCACGAUAGAGCUUGGGGGUUCGAGCUGAACGAGAUGUGCGAGCGGGACCGCCUUCUCUUCCGGUGCAUUGUCCCGCUGAUAUGCGUGUACGCCGUCGAAUGGCACCUACCACAACGUGUGGCGAUACAAUUUGGCGUAUUGCAACACACACCACCGACAAGGCCCCACAACACCGGCGGUUACGACCUUCACAAGAAGAGCAGGCAGUAUUCUCAGUCGAUAUUGGACUGGGUGACGAGCACAAGUCUUUUGUGA
Molecule: ribosomal RNA, 501 nt
Filed under: Triticum aestivum (bread wheat)
Lineage: Eukaryota; Viridiplantae; Streptophyta; Magnoliopsida; Poales; Poaceae
Description: partial small subunit ribosomal RNA
Source: RNAcentral